GAUUAGAUACCCUGGUAGUCCACGCCCUAAACGAUGUCUACUAGUUGUCGGGUCUUAAUUGACUUGGUAACGCAGCUAACGCGUGAAGUAGACCGCCUGGGGAGUACGGUCGCAAGAUUAAAACUCAAAGGAAUUGACGGGGACCCGCACAAGCGGUGGAUGAUGUGGAUUAAUUCGAUGCAACGCGAAAAACCUUACCUACCCUUGACAUGUCAGGAAUCCUCGAGAGAUCGGGGAGUGCCCGAAAGGGAACCUGAACACAGGUGCUGCAUGGCUGUCGUCAGCUCGUGUCGUGAGAUGUUGGGUUAAGUCCCGCAACGAGCGCAACCCUUGUCAUUAGUUGCUACAUUUAGUUGAGCACUCUAAUGAGACUGCCGGUGACAAACCGGAGGAAGGUGGGGAUGACGUCAAGUCCUCAUGGCCCUUAUGGGUAGGGCUUCACACGUCAUACAAUGGUACAUACAGAGGGCCGCCAACCCGCGAGGGGGAGCUAAUCCCAGAAAGUGUAUCGUAGUCCGGAUCGCAGUCUGCAACUCGACUGCGUGAAGUUGGAAUCGCUAGUAAUCGCGGAUCAGCAUGUCGCGGUGAAUACGUUCCCGGGUCUUGUACACACCGCCCGUCACACCAUGGGAGCGGGUUUUACCAGAAGUAGGUAGCUUAACCGUAAGGAGGGCGCU
RNAcentral lists this ribosomal RNA (677 nucleotides) under uncultured bacterium. RNAcentral's name for it is "bacterial SSU rRNA". It matches the Rfam family "Bacterial small subunit ribosomal RNA", at positions 776 to 1454 of the family's 1533-position model. The record is from RNAcentral.